UCUUUAAACAGGCAGCCAACACCAAGUUUUGACAAUGCAUUACAAACAGUGCAAAGCCUCCGGAGCCGAAUGCUCUGUGAAUAUCAGUGCAGCACUGAUAAGCUGGACCCUGAACCAGUAUCACCCUCUGACCACACAGAGCCAGGAACAGCCCUAUUUAUUUUCUUCAUUCCACCUUCUCCUGCCACUUUAAAAUGGGGGAGAGGGGAACGGCCUGUGUGCUGUUCUUCCAGAAGCUGGUGGAAAGACAUGCCCAAAACCGCUGACUUCGUCCAUGUAGCUUAUCAGCAGGGCCAUUUUGAACAAGUUAUCUAAGCUCAGGGCCUCAAUGUCCUCACGCGUAAGUGAUGGCUCCAGAGGGAGUGUUCUUCUAAGACCUGGUGAGAUUUCAGAGGAAGUUGUCUAAGAUGGUGCCAGGUCACCAGAGGUGCCAAUGCAGGACACA
This 445-nucleotide long non-coding RNA is filed under the name Homo sapiens (human). RNAcentral's name for it is "HSALNT0005681". Lineage: Eukaryota; Metazoa; Chordata; Mammalia; Primates; Hominidae. The record is from RNAcentral.